Molecule: ribosomal RNA, 253 nt
Filed under: uncultured bacterium
Lineage: Bacteria
Description: partial 16S ribosomal RNA
Rfam family: Bacterial small subunit ribosomal RNA
Source: RNAcentral
UACGUAGGGUGCAAGCGUUGUCCGGAAUUAUUGGGCGUAAAGCGCUCGUAGGCGGUUUGUCGCGUCUGCUGUGAAAACUCGGGGCUCAACUCCGAGCUUGCAGUGGGUACGGGCAGACUAGAGUGCGGUAGGGGAGACUGGAAUUCCUGGUGUAGCGGUGGAAUGCGCAGAUAUCAGGAGGAACACCGGUGGCGAAGGCGGGUCUCUGGGCCGUAACUGACGCUGAGGAGCGAAAGCAUGGGGAGCGAACAGG